Molecule: transfer RNA, 84 nt
Filed under: Phenylobacterium haematophilum
Lineage: Bacteria; Pseudomonadati; Pseudomonadota; Alphaproteobacteria; Caulobacterales; Caulobacteraceae
Also listed under: 7 other names
Description: tRNA-Leu
Rfam family: tRNA
About the family: Transfer RNA (tRNA) molecules are approximately 80 nucleotides in length. Their secondary structure includes four short double-helical elements and three loops (D, anti-codon, and T loops).
Source: RNAcentral
GCCCCCUUGGCGGAAUGGUAGACGCAGAGGACUUAAAAUCCUUUGCCGUAAGGCGUCCCGGUUCGAGUCCGGGAGGGGGCACCA